AAAAAGAUAAACCCUGGGUUUCCGUGUCCAACAUUUGACUGUCCGUCUUAUAUGAAAUUUUUUAUAAUUAGUAUUUUCAUUAUUGUUAGAUGAUAAAACAUGAUUAAUACUUUAUGCGUGACUUGUCUUUUUAAUUUUUUUAUAUUUUUUUUAAAUAAGACGGACGGUCAAACAUUGGACGUGGAAACCCAGGGUUUAUCUUUUU
This 205-nucleotide microRNA precursor is filed under the name Oryza barthii. RNAcentral's name for it is "MIR812 microRNA precursor family". It matches the Rfam family "MIR812 microRNA precursor family". Lineage: Eukaryota; Viridiplantae; Streptophyta; Magnoliopsida; Poales; Poaceae. The record is from Rfam by way of RNAcentral.